GACGAACGCUGGCGGCGUGCUUAACACAUGCAAGUCGAGCGGUAAGGCCUUUCGGGGUCCACGAGCGGCGAACGGGUGAGUAACACGUGGGUGAUCUGCCCUGCACUUCGGGAUAAGCCUGGGAAACUGGGUCUAAUACCGGAUAUGACCUCCUAUCGCAUGGUGGGUGGUGGAAAGAUUUAUCGGUGCAGGAUGGGCCCGCGGCCUAUCAGCUUGUUGGUGGGGUAAUGGCCUACCAAGGCGACGACGGGUAGCCGACCUGAGAGGGUGACCGGCCACACUGGGACUGAGACACGGCCCAGACUCCUACGGGAGGCAGCAGUGGGGAAUAUUGCACAAUGGGCGAAAGCAUGAUGCAGCGACGCCGCGUGAGGGAUGACGGCCUUCGGGUUGUAAACCUCUUUCAGCAGGGACGAAGCGCAAGUGACGGUACCUGCAGAAGAAGCACCGGCUAACUACGUG
RNAcentral lists this ribosomal RNA (462 nucleotides) under uncultured bacterium. RNAcentral's name for it is "partial 16S ribosomal RNA". It matches the Rfam family "Bacterial small subunit ribosomal RNA", at positions 28 to 507 of the family's 1533-position model. The record is from RNAcentral.